GUUGAAACACCGGUUCUCGUCCGAUCACCGAAGUUAAGCAACAUCAAGACUGGUCAGUACCUAACUGGGUGACCCUUUGGGAAUACCAGAUGCUGUAA
RNAcentral lists this ribosomal RNA (98 nucleotides) under Acanthosepion pharaonis. Lineage: Eukaryota; Metazoa; Mollusca; Cephalopoda; Sepiida; Sepiidae. The record is from RNAcentral.